GCCAGGCAGACCGGAAAUGAGCGACUGUGAAAUUGGACGGGAGAUUUUCGGGAGGGGCACUGAAAUUCGGGAUUCUCACGGAAAAAUCGGAAGGGUUGGCAAAUAAGGGCGGUGCUCACCUUGCUUACCUAUAUAAAGACUGCUCUCCGUCAAAAACUGAGCACCAUCUGAGUGACUACACCUGCGGCAGUGCGGCACUUCACUUCUUACAGCGGCUGAGACAAACAGUGACGAUUAUAAAGACUGAAAUAGAAGAAAUAAGAAACGGAUAAUUAUCGUCAGCAUUGUUAAUAAAGACUUGAAGCUGCAAUGGAUGGACACGGUGAAAAUGCCACUCCGCUCUAUGUCCUGCGUGUGUGUUCCUGGUUUCGUUUCCAUCUCAUCUACCACCAGACUGACGGACUGGCUGUGAUACUUUAUGGUGACAGAGAGAAGCUUGCUGCGAUAUUCCUGCAGAGGAUGGUGAUGGAGUUCUUCAGGAACUGGA
Molecule: long non-coding RNA, 487 nt
Organism: Oreochromis niloticus (Nile tilapia)
Lineage: Eukaryota; Metazoa; Chordata; Actinopteri; Cichliformes; Cichlidae
Exons: 3
Source: RefSeq, a predicted model, not a curated record